This 253-nucleotide ribosomal RNA is filed under the name uncultured bacterium. RNAcentral describes it as "partial 16S ribosomal RNA". It matches the Rfam family "Bacterial small subunit ribosomal RNA", at positions 524 to 776 of the family's 1533-position model. The record is from RNAcentral.
UACGUAGGCAGCAAGCGUUGUUCGGAGUUACUGGGCGUAAAGGGUGCGUAGGCGGCUUUUUAAGUUUGGUGUGAAAUCUCCCGGCUCAACUGGGAGGGUGCGCCGAAUACUGAGAGGCUAGAGUGUGGGAGAGGAAAGUGGAAUUCCUGGUGUAGCGGUGAAAUGCGCAGAUAUCAGGAGGAACACCGGUGGCGAAGGCGGGUCUCUGGGCAAUAACUGACGCUGAGGAGCGAAAGCGUGGGGAGCGAACAGG